AGCGAACGCUGGCGGCAGGCUUAACACAUGCAAGUCGAGCGGGCACUUCGGUGUCAGCGGCAGACGGGUGAGUAACACGUGGGAACGUACCCUUUGGUUCGGAAUAACGCUGGGAAACUAGCGCUAAUACCGGAUACGCCCUUUUGGGGAAAGGCUUGCUGCCGAAGGAUCGGCCCGCGUCUGAUUAGCUAGUUGGUGGGGUAAUGGCCAACCAAGGCGACGAUCAGUAGCUGGUCUGAGAGGAUGAUCAGCCACACUGGGACUGAGACACGGCCCAGACUCCUACGGGAGGCAGCAGUGGGGAAUAUUGGACAAUGGGCGCAAGCCUGAUCCAGCCAUGCCGCGUGAGUGAUGAAGGCCUUAGGGUUGUAAAGCUCUUUUGUCCGGGACGAUAAUGACGGUACCGGAAGAAUAAGCCCCGGCUAACUUCGUG
This 433-nucleotide ribosomal RNA is filed under the name uncultured bacterium. RNAcentral describes it as "partial 16S ribosomal RNA". It matches the Rfam family "Bacterial small subunit ribosomal RNA", at positions 29 to 507 of the family's 1533-position model. The record is from RNAcentral.